UAGGGAAUCUUCGGCAAUGGGGGGAACCCUGACCGAGCAACGCCGCGUGAGUGAAGAAGGUUUUCGGAUCGUAAAGCUCUGUUGUUAAGGAAGAACGAGUGUGAGAAUGGAAAGUUCAUACUGUGACGGUACUUAACCAGAAAGGGACGGCUAACUACGUGCCAGCAGCCGCGGUAAUACGUAGGUGGCAAGCGUUAUCCGGAUUUAUUGGGCGUAAAGCGAGCGCAGGCGGUCAAUUAAGUCUGAUGUGAAAGCCCCCGGCUCAACCGGGGAGGGUCAUUGGAAACUGGUUGACUUGAGUGCAGAAGAGGAGAGUGGAAUUCCAUGUGUAGCGGUGAAAUGCGUAGAUAUAUGGAGGAACACCAGUGGCGAAGGCGACUCUCUGGUCUGUAACUGACGCUGAGGCUCGAAAGCGUGGGUAGCAAACAGG
This 430-nucleotide ribosomal RNA is filed under the name Bacteroidota bacterium. Its description in RNAcentral is "Bacteroidetes bacterium partial 16S ribosomal RNA". It matches the Rfam family "Bacterial small subunit ribosomal RNA", at positions 355 to 776 of the family's 1533-position model. Lineage: Bacteria; Pseudomonadati; Bacteroidota. The record is from RNAcentral.